CAUGAGGCCCUGGUGCUGGGUGGCAUGGGGUGUGUUGUGUCUUGUUUGUGGCUGGACUUUGGAAAGAUGGGGAAUUUGAGAAGGUGAAUGAAAGGCUCCUGAGUGCAGCAGUACUCAUCUCUGCAAUUCAGGUGCGCUGCUUCCAAUGUAGACGUGAGUGGGCAGCCCAUGCUUUUGUGACAACUGUGCCUGGUGAAGCUGAACAGAUCUCUGUGCCAGAAGUCAGCCUUGCAUUCCAGCAUGGACUGUGAUGGUUAGAGUGCUGUUAGUGCUGCUCCUUUCCAAACAGGGAAUUGCCUGGCUCACAGUAAAGCUGCUCCCAUAGUUGGAAGAUGCCUUUGACACAUUAAAGGUGCUUUUAAAAAGUUGUUUAUUUUAACUUUUUAUAUAUAUAUAUAUUUAGGUUUAGGAGGCACAUAGAUGCAAUAACUCACCAAACUAAGUGUUCUUACGUCAGUACAUAAGUGCUUAAACUUCUGUUAAGAGGAGCAUCAAAGCAGCAUAUCAACCAGGAAAACACUGCUUUUGUGCUCAUUUGAGACCAUGGCCAGAGCGAGAAGGCAGAGCUGCCUACAGAAGGUGCUCAAUGUGAAUUUGAGGGCACAACAUGGCUGGUGGCUGAACCAUCACCAUGGGAGCACAAAUCUCAACUUGCAGGAGUGAGAGGAAGGUCACACUGCCUCACACCUGGAAUGUCCAGGUUGGUGCACUGCAAUCCCAAUACUGGAAAUAUAUCCACACAGUGUAGGAGAGAUACCCACCCAACAUUGGAGAGAUACCCACUCAGUGUUGGAGAGAUACCCACCCAACAUUGGAGAGAUACCCCAAUGUUGGAAAGAUACCCACUCAACCUUAAAGAGAUACCCACCCGAUAGUUGGAACUAGCAGCCCGCAGGGAGGCAGUGGUAACCUCUCCAGCUCUCCCAGGUGAAGUCCUGCAGCUCAGGGGCUCUUUAGGAAGGACCUGGCCCAUCCCAUACCUGCCCAUAGCAGCGUAGAGCCUCAGGAUGUGCACUGAGGGCAUUGCUGAGUGCUGGGGUCCUGCUUCUGCUCUGGAACCCUGCACAAGGGGCUCAGCCCCUUCUGGAGGUUCUGUGAAAAUAAUGGGUGUGUUUUAUUUUCAGGUUUUAAACAUGUGAUACAACUUUUUCUUUCUUUCUUUCUUUUUCUUUUCUUUUUCUUUUUCUGAAGGUGGGGGGGUAGGUAAGCGAUUGUUCCCCGCGAGCACAAAUGUAUUUUGUUUGUUGUAAUUAAAAUGUUUUAAUGAGACAACCAUAAAAUCAACCAUUAAUUAUUUUUUUUUCAAACACUUCUGCUUCCUUUUGAGCUAGGUCUAUUUAGAAAUAGUUUAGAGAGUAGCCUGCAGUUUUAUUCUUUCUUCGGUAUUAUACACAGGAGUGGAGAAGUCAUUUAUAAAUAAUUACACAAUGUUUUGGGUCUUUGGGUUUGUAUAAUAUAUCAAAGCGAUUAGUACACGCAUUGUUCCAUUGUAAAUGGUUUUUUUCCCUUCCUUUCAGUUUCACUUGCCUUGUCUUCUAUCUAAACCUUUUUCGUGAAAUCCUUUGUCUUCCUCAUUCUUUUAGCUUGUUACAGUGCAGGGACAUUCUUCUUAUUCAAACACUCACAGCAUGAGCAAAGAAAGCUACUUCUGUCGCAUCUUAAGUUUUACCAUAACUUUCUGGCAUUUUCUUUUCUUCUAAUUUUCCCAGACUACCGAUAGGGUAAUGAAGAAUUAUAACGUACAUCAAUUAUUGGUGCUCACGGGGUAUUAUGCUCCUGAAUUCAAGGGGAGAGAAAGAAAAAAAAAAAAAAAAAAAAGAAAGAAAAAAAGAAAAAAGAAAAAAAAAA
This is a long non-coding RNA of Gallus gallus (chicken), 1848 nucleotides long. Lineage: Eukaryota; Metazoa; Chordata; Aves; Galliformes; Phasianidae. The record is from Ensembl.